RNAcentral lists this long non-coding RNA (5820 nucleotides) under Gallus gallus (chicken). Its description in RNAcentral is "lncRNA (ENSGALG00010006932.1)". Lineage: Eukaryota; Metazoa; Chordata; Aves; Galliformes; Phasianidae. The record is from RNAcentral.
GUGAACCCAGGUGAGCAAAAAGCUGCGAGUGCUAGGAAAACCCUAGGCACAGAGAAGGGAAGCAAUGGCUAAAGAUCUCACAGUAAGUCACUUAUAGAUGUAGAUGCCCAUUUCACACUAACCGAAGCUGUUUUCCUUCUCCACUGUACCUGUGAAUAAUUGACCAGCUGAGCAAGUAGAUGUCUUUAAACAAUUACCAGCUUACUCAGAUCUUCAGUACAGAACCAGUCAAGUGAACUCCAGCUGUGUGAGCUGAAUAUUGCAUCUUCCAUUGUGCAGAUUUCCUCUAUCAGUAGUUUAUACUAGGUGCUUGUUUUUUUUUCCUCUUCAGACUAACAAGAUGAGAGAAAGUAACUGUAGCAGUUGUUUAUACAAGAAGAGUCAAUACCUAAAACUGUAUUUAAUUUAAUUUCUACUGGGAAACAGACCAAUGCUGAUUUCUAUUAUUAUUAUUAAGUGAAAAAGGGAGGUGUGUUUUGGAUCAGUUAGCUUUGCCAGAGAGAAAUCACCACUGCUUCUGCUUGCUUUGCUGGGGGAAAAAAAUAAUUGUGAGAGAGGAUGGUUUUUCCCUUCCAACAGCUCUUAUUCCCAAUAUGCAUACGCCUCUUCCCUCAAGAUCUCCUGGGUGCAGGCAGGUGAUCAGCACAAUAUGACUCACAACAGUGGAAGACUUGAAGUCAGCAGCAUCCUUCAAGAAGAUUGGACUGGUUUUCAGCUGGGUAGGCUUCUGUCACUGUUGAAGCAAGAAGAUGAAGCAGCGUCCUGUGAAACAGCAGAGGUAAGAUGUUGGAUGCAUUUUGUUGCAGAUAGAAUCGUUCUUUCUCUCCUGUUUCAAAAUUCCUCAUAGACAGAUCAGCUGGUCAAGCUUCCAUGUCUCAUCUUGACUUUGAAGACAGUCACCAUCUUUGACUGCUGAAUUUCUGAGGUUUCCAGAAUUUCAGUUUCAACAUAGAUGUCUCCUUAAAUCUAAAAACAUGGCAAUUUUUUUUUAUUUUUAUACUUUUUUAAUUUUUUUUUUUUUUUGCUUGGUGAAAUGUAAGAUAAAUUAUUUGCUUUAUGAAAAAAGGUCAAAACCUGAACUGUUUUAAGAGGUAUUCAAUUCAGCAGUUACUGUGACUAACACCAGCUUGAGGAACAGUGCUAAAUUAUUUUGGGGAACCAGAAAUUCAUGUGAAUAGACAUAAUAUUUUUAGGUUUUUGGUUCUAAAUUACCACUCAGGUGGGAAGAAACUGGGAAGCUAUCUGAUGAUUAAUAUGAAAGUACUUUCUGGUUGUCAUCUUACUCUCAGUAAAAAAUAAUAUAUCGCCAAAAAGAAAACUGCAAACCAACAAGCCCUGCAUCACAAUUGGUAGUGACUGCCACACAAGGAGAUGGUGUAUAGAAGAUGAAGAAAAAAAAAGCAACAACAAAUGAGAUGGUUUCACUUCUUCCUUAGGGAGAACAAGAAUUUACAGACAUAGAAGAAGCACCACUCCUAGUACCACAGAUGCUCUAACAAGGACUCAGGUGUAUCACUUGCUUCAUGUUUUUGAACAGAUUGCUAACUGUAUUCUAAACCUGAACCACCUACUGAAGACCUGCAGGAAAAAAAAAAAAAAAAAAAGUGGAAGAAUUGUGGAUAUCCUAAUUUGAGAGGAGGUUAUAGCACAAUAUUAUUAAGAUCAAACUGCCUCUUGCCUCAAAUCAAGAAGAAAACCACUCUUCUUUGACUAAAGCCAGUUCAGGAACAUUUUCUUCUGUCAAAACUUUCAGCCUGUUCUUCCAAGACAUGUAGAGUCAAAGAAAUGGUCUCACCACCUCCAACCCCAGUGCAGACCUCUUGGUCAGCCUUGUCUGAGAUGACUUAGCAUGGGGUAGUGGGAACUCUUAUCUGGCUCAGUGCUCCUGUUGAUGGUGGAUGAAAUGUUUAUUGUGUUGUUCAUCACAGAGAUCAAAAUGGCUUCUGGACUUUGUGCUGGUCUCUCCAGCUCUGAAGAAAAGCAGCAUGGCUUGCCUGACACUCUUGGUACAGAAGCUUCUCCAGCAGAGGUUCCUGCCAAUGAGAGACGAGAUCAGCUCACAUCAGAGGGAGGUCACUGGAUUCCUUGAAAAGAAGAGGUGGCUGUGCGUGUCUUCCUGUCCCUAUGCUUUCCUAAGCUACAGGGUAGCACUGAUCUUCCUCAGCAAGUUCAGUGCCUUGAAGCAACAGGAUCCCUGCCAGCCCACCAGGAUAGUGACAUCUGUGCUCCUGCAUACCAGUGUUUGGGAAGUAGGCAUGAUACCUGACAUCCAGCACAGUCAGGAACGAGCCAAAUCAAGAUGGGAAGGAGAGAAACUCUGGAUCUAUAGAUUGCAGGAAAUGAUUUUUCCAGGAGUAGCUCUUAUUCUAACUAGGAAUUAGAAUUAUUGAAAUGUUGAAUGGCCUGCAAACAAAAAUUUCAGUUCCCAGCUGACUCUGUCCACUAGUUUAUCAACAUAUUUUUGGACUCCACUGAAACAAUCCACGGCAAAGACAACAGAUAGCCCUAGGAAUUUGUGCAGGCUAUUGAGUCUUUCCAUUGUGGGCUGCUGGUUCAAAUCCUAGUGGACCUGUAGGGGAACAAGGAAAAGCUGAUACCAUGACUUUAGCUGUGUGGUAUGAGUUUUCCUCCCUGGGUAUAGGUGUCAGCAACAGAAUUAGCAUUAAUUAGUCCACUUUGAAAUUUCAGCCAAGGUUUGACAUGGCAAAGUGGGGAAGCCUACUGUGCUGCAGACUGAGCUGUGCUUGCUCUGUGGAUGAAAAUAUAGCUUCCCUUUUCCAGGUCCAGUCCAGGCACUUUUCAUUAAUACUGUCACUGUGAAGCCAUAGGGAAAGCUAAGAGAGCUGCUUAAUAACUAGCAAGAACAAUAGAAGAGUAUCAUCAGACUAGGUAAUUGGUUAGAGAUAGUACCCUGGGAAGACAAGGACUAAAAGCAGUGAACUGCAGCCAGCCACACAAUCCAAGGUAACAGGCAGUGAGCUCUGGAUUAGCAACCAAGGCAACUUUAAUAAUUUAACUGUAGCAUUCACAGUAAUUUAACUAUGCUAUCCAGAACACAAAGCUAAUGGUGAUAUAGUGAAUGCAGGUAAUAUUCAGAAAGUUUGUUAAAUGCCAGUACAUAAAAGAGUCUCCGUGGAGAAGGCCAAUAUUCAGAUUUGUUGCUCUUGUUUUCUUUCUCCUUUUUCUCAGAUAGCAAGCAUUUAGUUUGUGAUAGUUAUUUGCUAGCUAGUAAGGGAAGAUGGGCUGUUUCAGAAGUUCCUAUUGACAGCCAGCUUACAGAGUGUAACAGGCUGACACAUUUUGCUGUCUUUGAAAACUGAAUAACAAAUGUUUUUGCUAUUUACAAGCCAGAAAUGAAUCGAUGGAUCUGAGUUAGAGAGCACACUCCCAAAACAUGCCAACACAUUUCUGCAUGCACUGCUUGCAAACUCUGCCUUCAUCCAAAUUAACAUCCUAAUUUGUGAAGGCUGCAAAAAAAAAAAAGUAUAAUUCAGAAUACAGAAUUGUUGUAGCUCAAAACAGACUCUCAAAAUUUAUUUUAUAGCUUGCCCACACACAGAGUUCUACCACUCCACUGCUGAGAAUAAAAUGGUAGAACCUCUCUCUAAGGAUUACACCCACCACUUUAUUGCUGAAGAUGCUAGCCUGAAUAAAAUCCAUGAUCGUGCUCUGUUGCAUUCUCUCACUCUGGGAAGUCAAAUUCUCUUCCAGAAGUGACAGUAUAAAAUGUCUGCUUCUUUUACAACAAUGGUGCUUUGUGUACGUAUUCAUAGGCAGACCUUUUGCUUUAAUGACAAAAAAUGGAUUUUUACAAUCCUUGACUCCCACUAGCAUUGAGGAGUCCAUAAAGUUCGGAAAAAAUGAAUUAGAUUCGAUUGUGACUCACAUGUCCUGAUUGAACCACCGCUGCAAACUCCUACUGCAGCAACAAAUCCUGCUAAUUGUGUUGGGCAAACUAACUACACAGCCUGAGCUGAAGGGAAAAUUUAAACUCCCAAAUAAUACACAUAUUUUUGAAUACAUACUGAGUGCUGCUUUCAAGUUCACAUUGUAGUGGCCUACUGAAUCAGUUCUAGCACAGAUUUGGAGGCCUGUGAAUUCCCUCUGAGCUGGAAACUAUACAGAUCGCAUGUGUUCAUCAGCUGCUGGGGUUAUUUUUCUAAGCACUCUUCAAUGUGAGUGGUAGUGAAAGAUUGUAAAAAUCCAUUUAGUACUUGACUAACUGUAGUUCUAAGCACACACUGAAGAAUAUAAUUUCCAUUGCCACUGAAAGCAUGUGUUUGGAAGAACUGUAUCUAUGAAGCCCACCUGAAUCAUUAAGGUAGUGGUGGGACGGUGAGUGGGGGUGGGAGAGGUAUGCUCAGUUUAUAUGAAAAGAACCAUGUCAGGACAGAUUUUUGCCUAUGAGAAAUGUGUGAGGAAGGAUGUAAAGGGAAAAAAAAAAACAUCUCCAUGACAGUCCUCCCUUCCAGGGACUUUGUCUCUUGGAAGAACCUACUGGAGACAAAGGCAUACUGUGCCUUUGCACAGCUUGGGGGCCUUCACAGCUUUCAUCAUUCUUGCAGCCAUCAACCUGCCUGUAAAGGCUAAUGUUUUGCACUGCACUUGUGUAUUAGCUCUCUGACUGCAAGUCGUCACUUCAAGGAGCUUACACCUCACACCAUGCUUCACGAGCACACCACAGCUGAGUUUCAGUGCUGGAUCUUACUAUUUUAAUUAGAUUGCUAAGUACACUGUGGAUGUUGCUGCUAAACUUAUGUUGACCACAGCAUACACAAAGGUAACCCCGAGCAUCCAGGAUCUAAGAGACAAAAAAAUAGUCAGCCCUGUAGUGGGGUUAAAAGGAAGCUAGAUUUGUCUUUGUUCCACAAAGUGUAGCAUAAACUGCAUAAUUAGUCAUUUUGGCCUGAAGCUUUAUCUACAUGACAAUGUAGCACUACUAUUAGUAAUAGCAAUCCAAAGCAUCUUUUCUGAGUUGACAAAAAUAUUAGGUAUGCUAUUUAUAGCAACCAUUGCACACACUGACAUGAGAAAUAAUUGUUACUACAACAUCCCGUUAGUGUUAUUUUUGUAUUCUGUUCCAAUUUGUAUAUAAAUGAAACCUAUGAACAUUUCCUGCACUGACCUCAUGUCUUUGUGUAGAUGGGCUUUAGACCAGAUCCAAGGAAGUGCUAAAUAAUCAUAUAAGCAGCAAGAACAAAUUCAUGGUUGAGCACCAUUAUUCAUCAUGGUGUAAUAUGUGAUCACUGAGCAGGCAGUGGUGAAGAGGAGGCUCAGGGAAGACCUUAGCACUCUGUACAACUCCAUGAAAGGAGGCUGUGGUGAGGUGGGGGUCAGCCUCUUCUCCUGUGUAAGUAGCGAUAGGACUAGAGGGAAUGGUCUCAAGUGCACCCGGGGAGAUUCAGCUUGGUUAUUAGGAAAAAUUUCUUCUCAAAAUGAGUGGUCAGACACUGGAACAGAGUACCCAGGGAGGUGGAGUCACAGUCCAUGGAGGUGCUCAGAAACAUUUAGCUGUGGUACUUAAGGACAUGGUUUAGUGAGAACUAUUGCUGACUAUUGCAGGUAGACGGCUGGACUAUAUCAUCCUGGAGGCCUUUUCCAACCUCAGUGAUUCUAUGAUUCUAUGAACUUUUCCAUGGAUGUGCUUGGAUGAUUUUUCCUUCUCAUUCCUCUUUGUCUCAUCCUCUCUUCUCAUUACUUAUCUUUAAGGAACAGAAACCAGUCUUGACUUGCUACUGAGAAAACUAGGUACAAGGAGAUGCCUUCUACUUUUCCCUCUGAGAACCUAUUCUCAAAGCUAAAGAAAUUGGCUCUAAAUUG